Molecule: ribosomal RNA, 253 nt
Filed under: uncultured bacterium
Lineage: Bacteria
Description: partial 16S ribosomal RNA
Rfam family: Bacterial small subunit ribosomal RNA
Source: RNAcentral
UACGUAGGGGGCAAGCGUUGUCCGGAUUUAUUGGGCGUAAAGAGCGUGUAGGCGGCCAGGUAGGUCUGCUGUGAAAACUCGAGGCUUAACCUCGAGCUGUCGGCGGAAACCAUCUGGCUAGAGUCCGGAAGAGGAGAAUGGAAUUCCCGGUGUAGCGGUGAAAUGCGCAGAUAUCGGGAAGAACACCAGUGGCGAAGGCGGUUCUCUGGGACGGUACUGACGCUGAGAGACGAAAGCUAGGGGAGCGAAUGGG